UUUUCCUAAUCUCAAACCAGGUCUUCUGCGGCUAAAAUCUAAUCACAGUUUUGUAACGUUUGCAUUGGCUCAGGCUGCUCGAAGCAGUGUUUAGACAGCCCUGCCUACGCUCUCACGCGGCAUGGCUGAACAGCAGCACAUGCAGUCAGUCCAUCGAUUUACAACCCGUUUUCAUUUGUCAGGAGAAACAUUUGUACCCUGGCAAACAACUGACUAAACAAGGUGCAUGAGCUCUUAGCUUGUCUUGCCUGCACUUUGGGGGUCUAUUGACAUUUAAGUAGGGUCUAGGGCGCUGGACAAGGUGGAAGGAUCCUGGAGGCCUCGAUACCCUCUGCUGGGUAAGUUCAUAGCCCAAGGGCUCAGUUCAGAUCACGAGCACUGUACCCGGGAUGUGCUAUGAUCCAAGAGGGCUGGCAAAUGUCACUCGUUUCUAACCGUAGGUGUAUCGGGGUGUCUGUUAUUGUGGCACGGAGGGAAGCCCUGAAUGGUAACGAAGAGGUGGGAAUCUCUGCUUUCGGGGUCUUUCCAGCUGCUGUUGGUUAAACUCUCUAAAUUUGCUGACCGUAGGUCAAGCUCUUCUCUCCGUCUUGCCCCUCUUGCUUUUGAGAGGUGGUUCACACGGAUGCCUACCACGUUCCCUACCAAAGGAGCAAAAUGAGAACUGUCACAUGCCACCAGAGAUUUGUCACGAUAGAAAUUUGCCUAAUCUAGAAUUGUAUAGAGAGAAAACUCCCAGCUGACCUCCUUAAUCCCAGGCUCCUUAACUCGCUCUGCUUGUUCAGCUGAUGACCUGCAACAGUUUUUCCAGUCUUCACUGCUGAGGACCCUGUCUAAAUGCAUCCGUGUUUCUUUCCAUGUUGUUGUCAUGUCUUUCCUCCUCUUGCCUAGCUGGCUUUUAGCAUCGUUUCCCAGGGGAGUCCAGCACCCACCUCACCGUUUCUCCUCUCUUCCAGGUUGUCUCAGAUGUUGGUAGAGGGCUAAGGGCUCAUGUGCCUCACUCCAAUAAACCUCAGGGCUCUUUGUAUUCACUGAAACAGAUGGAUUUUUCCCCUCUCUGGCAGAUGGGAGUCAAAUUCCUCAGAUUAAGCAAUCUUAAGGAAAGCAAAAGAAAUCACCGUAGCGACGAGUGAAGGAAUAUUCUUGAAAGCGCAAGAAAAUUGGUGCCAGAUCUGCCAAAAGAGGGGCAUUACAGAGGAGUUGCGCUUGGGCCGCUCACCGAAGCAUCUCAACCGUUGGCAAAAUGUUUGCCUUCAGGCUGACUUUGGAGCUGAUUGCCUGCUGUUCGCCAUGCCAAAACUGCAUUCUUCUGCUCGGGUUUUCCAGGCCCGGCUGUUCUGUGUGUUGCCGAAGCAAUGCGAUGUGUUGUGGCUGCAGCCGCCUGCUCGAAACUUGCCCUGCUUAAGGAGACCAUCCCAAAACAGGGAAAAUCCCAAAGGGGACCCACCUGAGUAUGAGCUAAAAGAAACCAGGGGAGAGGAUAUUAUACUCAUAAGCGACCAGCUGAAAGCAGAGCCACCCUCUCUCCUGC
Struthio camelus australis is the source of this 1528-nucleotide non-coding RNA. Lineage: Eukaryota; Metazoa; Chordata; Aves; Struthioniformes; Struthionidae. The record is from RefSeq and is a predicted model, not a curated record.